GAUUUCUGGCUUGGUGCGCGCCGUCCGCUGCGGUUACGUAGUGUGUGCGGUUGUGCGCCUGCCAUCCUGCUGGUUAGUAUUCUGGGCCCUUCACUGGGUUUCAGGUACUGAUCGGCUCUUUUACUUUGAAAAAAUUAGAGUGUUCAAAGCAGGCUUGCGCUAUGAAUACAUUAGCAUGGAAUAAUAAUUUAGGACUUUAUUCCUAUUUAUUGGUUUCUGGAGUAGAGUAAUGAUUGAUAGGGAUAGUUGGGGGUGCUAGUAUUCAUCGGCCAGAGGUGAAAUUCUUGGAUUCGAUGAAGACUAACUAAUGCGAAAGCAUU
Molecule: ribosomal RNA, 320 nt
Filed under: uncultured Eocercomonas
Lineage: Eukaryota; Cercozoa; Cercomonadida; Cercomonadidae
Description: SSU rRNA
Rfam family: Eukaryotic small subunit ribosomal RNA (bases 101-320)
Source: RNAcentral